RNAcentral lists this unclassified non-coding RNA (221 nucleotides) under Hevea brasiliensis (rubber tree). The record is from RNAcentral. Lineage: Eukaryota; Viridiplantae; Streptophyta; Magnoliopsida; Malpighiales; Euphorbiaceae.
GGGCGGGGGAGAUGGGGGUCAAUUUUUACCAAUGUUUUCUUAUCCCUCGUUUUCUCCAACAUUUCUAGAUUUUGUGCCAUUGAAUCUUUAUGAAUAGAUGCCAAGCAAGAUGCUUUGGUUUCAGAUUUUGGUUAAUUAACUCGUAAAAGUCUUUGUAAUCUUUGUCAUUUGAUCUUUUGGAUAUUUUCUUUUGACUCAGGGAGGUUGAAGAUUUUGCUCGG